UACGGAGGGUGCAAGCGUUAUCCGGAUUUAUUGGGUUAAGGAUGUACGUAGGCGGUGGAGUAAGUCAGUGGUGAAAGCCAACAGCUCAACUGUUGAACUGCCAUUGAUACUGCUUCACUUGAGUGCAGUUGAGGUGGGUGGAAUUCCAUGUGUAACGGUGAAAUGCUUAGAUAUAUGGAGGAACACCGAUAACGAAGGUAACUCACUAAACUGUAACUGACGCUGAGGUACGAAAGCGUGGGGAGCAAACGGG
Molecule: ribosomal RNA, 253 nt
Filed under: uncultured bacterium
Lineage: Bacteria
Description: partial 16S ribosomal RNA
Rfam family: Bacterial small subunit ribosomal RNA
Source: RNAcentral